GCUCUGACUUUAUUGCACUACUGUACUGUACAGCUAGCAGUGCAAUAGUAUUGUCAAAGCAU
This 62-nucleotide microRNA precursor is filed under the name Rattus norvegicus (Norway rat). RNAcentral describes it as "Rno-Mir-130-P2b_pre stem-loop". It matches the Rfam family "mir-301 microRNA precursor family", at positions 12 to 71 of the family's 84-position model. Lineage: Eukaryota; Metazoa; Chordata; Mammalia; Rodentia; Muridae. The record is from RNAcentral.